UAAGUGAAGCAAUGAUAGGUCAAUGAAAGG
This 30-nucleotide non-coding RNA is filed under the name Rattus norvegicus (Norway rat). Lineage: Eukaryota; Metazoa; Chordata; Mammalia; Rodentia; Muridae. The record is from RNAcentral.